AGUGAACAGCUUUGUGGAGCUCUCUUCCUAACUAUGAACUUUUGAUCAUGGACUUGGUUUGGUACUCUCUUCAUUUAUUCUUAGCUUUUUCUACAACUAUUUGUCGCAUCGUGAUUUUAUUGAACAUGUAUGAUGUAUCAUAUGGUGUUCACAGGGUGCCACAGAAGUCUUCUUUCUUUAUCACCUUGUUAACUUUUCUGUCUGAAGUGGAUAAAUUNNNNNNNNNNNNNNNNNNNNNNNNNNNNNNNNNNNNNNNNNNNNNNUCCGAUAAUGGUGAUUCAUCCCUGGGAUAUAAUUGGUCUUUAUUAUAUGCAUAUGUAUUUCUUUCCUGAAUAAUUAUUCUUUGAUCAUGUUCAAGAUGGUGUUGAUUGCGUAUCCAGAACCUUGGCACUCCUCUAACAUAUAUUGCAAGAGUUUGGAAUGACUUUUUGGCCUUCCCAAGAUGAGGAAUUUGGGACAACUGGAUAUAAACUUGAUUCUGGUGAUUUGUUUGUUUGUGAUAACUUAACUUUAUUGGGGAGGUUUUCUAAAUCUUCAUUACUCUUGUUGUUUUUAUUGUGAUUUUUGAUGAUGAUGAUGAUACUCCUAAAAUGAUACCCUCUUUAUUAUAGUGGCCAAAGGAACCGUGUAUUUGGAAGAAGCCAAAAUCAUGUCAUUUCAUAUGGGUACAUGAUUGCAAAUUGGAUGGAAAUUUAGUCAACUCUUCUCAGACUCUUCUUUACAUUUCAGUUUAUUUUUUAAUACUCAACACAUAAAAGGUCAGUUCCUUUGAGUUUUCUUUGUGGUUGUUAUAGGGGACAGAGCCUAUAAAUGUGGUUGUUAUAGGGGAGAGAGCCUAUAAAUGCGUGGUUCACUGUGAAACCCAUGGCAGGAAAAGGUUCACAUACUUACUGUUCCGCUUGGGAUUUUGGAUUGUAUCAGGAAUGUAAGUAUGAAUGAAGCAAGGAUGAGGAAUUCGUGACAACUUGGUUUGGCACCAGAAUCUGCAAUUGGCUGCUGUUGACGUGCUUUCAUUUGGUUAUCUCUACUCUGAAUAUGCAUUUUUCAUUUUCUUUUUAUAUUUUGAGGAUAUAGUUUCCUUGAUUCCAAGGACCUGUUUUUGCUUUGGUGUUAUAGAGGAGAGAGCUGUGAAUGUACUGUCGGAUUUGAAAGCUUUGAGCCUUUGGAUUCAACGGGUUGCUUUUUGCCUUGAGUGUUUGUUCUGGAAUAGGUGUCCUAGUAUGAUGUGGCAGUGCUGCUGGUAUUUAUUUAUGUUUAGAAUUAUGAAUCUGAGUAUGAGCAGUGCAUCUCUUUCUUGGAUAAUCAAGAUAUAAGUCUGUUUUGCAGUGAGUUGAACAUUUGUAGAUACUUGAUACAUUUUGUAGUUUGUUGAUCAAUUUUUUAUUUCUGGAUUUCUGGAACAGUUUGCAUUUAUCGAUGAUAAUGGAUAAGAAUGAUAAUGGCAACAGAUACAUAGAUCAAGUUUCUUCAAUGAAGUCGUUCUUUAUUAUUUUCAUUAUUUUUAUUUUUGCGCUUUCAUCUUAAAAUGCAAAUUUUAUCGUGAACCUGUUUUUCUGCAGUGUGGUUUGUCAAAAAUGUUCUUUCAUCAUAGCAUGGAGCCUCAAGUUUUGGUUUUGGUUCUUCAAUGGGUCGUUCUAUACAAUUUUUAUUUAUUUUUGGGCUUUGAUUUCAAGACGUAUGAAUUGAAGUUUGAACAUGUUUUUCUAGUUUGUCAAAAUAAUAACCUUCUAAUUUGUUAUAAGUUUUUCCGUUUGUAUUCUUGUCAUUUGCGAUAUAUAUAAAAUAUAAGAAUAAGAAUCUUCUAUCCUACAUGGGUGUAGGUAUGCAGCGAAUAUGCAAUUGGUGAUGUACUUGUUAUUGUGCUUCCAUUCGGUGAUCUCUUUUCUAACUAUGAAUUUUUCAUGUUUCUUUGUUUGUUUUGAGGAUCUAAGUAUACUUGAUUCCUUCGUCAGUUUCUGUGGUGUCACAGCGGUGAGAGACUAUGAAUUACUGUGCGACUUGAAAGUUGUGGUAGAUAUUGUUAAGGAAAUGCUUUGAGCCUUUGGAUAUAGCGGGUCAAUUUUCAUUGAAAUUACUUGUUCUAGGAUAGGUGUAUGCUUUUUAUGUUAAGAAUUACNNNNNNNNNNNNNNNNNNNNNNNNNNNNNNNNNNNNNNNNNNNNNNNNNNNNNNNNNNNNNNNNNNNNNNNNNNNNNNNNNNNNNNNNNNNNNNNNNNNNNNNNNNNNNNNNNNNNNNNNNNNNNNNNNNNNNNNNNNNNNNNNNNNNNNNNNNNNNNNNNNNNNNNNNNNNNNNNNNNNNNNNNNNNNNNNNNNNNNNNNNNNNNNNNNNNNNNNNNNNNNNNNNNNNNNNNNNNNNNNNNNNNNNNNNNNNNNNNNNNNNNNNNNNNNNNNNNNNNNNNNNNNNNNNNNNNNNNNNNNNNNNNNNNNNNNNNNNNNNNNNNNNNNNNNNNNNNNNNNNNNNNNNNNNNNNNNNNNNNNNNNNNNNNNNNNNNNNCUUUAUUACUUUUUAUUUUGGCAUUUGAUUGCAAGACAUACCGACUGAUUCCUUCUGGUUCUGGUUCUAUUUUUCUUUUGUUUGAUAUUCAUGUUUUAUAUUCUUAUUCAUUUCUGGUCUUUUGAUUUUGUCCUGCGCUUUUUACUACUUUUGUAUCCAUGCUUCUCAUUCAUUCUUGGGAUAUAAUUGGUCAUUUUUUUUAAUUAUAUGUAUUUAUCCCAAAAUAAUAGUUCUUUGAUUGUGUACAAGCUCGUGUUGAAGUUUUUGCAUUUCUUCUGGUGUUGAAGUUGUGUGUUUCAGUAUCCGCAACCUGAGUAUUACUCUAUCACAGGGUACAAGAUUCUGGAAGAACUUUUUGCCCUUUCCACGAUGAGAAAUUUUGGACAAUUUGGUUACUUCAUAUGUGUUGUUUGCUUUUAUGAUUUGUUUGUUGGUGACAUAAUAACUUUGUUGGGGAAGGUUUUUCAUAAUUUGCUUUUGUUGCUUUUAUUUUGAUUUGUGAUUUAUGAUGAUGAUGAUUGUACUCCUAAAAUGAUAUCAUCUUCAUUACAGUGCCCCAAGGACAAGGCUUUGUUGCCAAGGUACACAAUUCAAUCACUUUUCACUUCAAUCCUCGUUGAUCACAUAAGCGUUGGAGUGCUAACAUGUUUUGUAGGUACCUUCCCCACCGUGAUUCACCGUAAAUAUAAUGCAACCGUAGCUUCCUUAAGCCUCACCAUUGGAGUUAUCUCAUUCUGAUUCGGUCAGAACACUGUAUUAGGAGGAAGCCAAAGUUGUGUCAUUUCAUAUUGGAUGGAGUUUGUUCCAAUGAAUCGUCUUCUCCAGCAAACUUUAAUUUGGUCAUCUCUUCUUAGACUCUUCACAUUUUCAGUCUUUUGUUUGAUAAUCAGCAUCUACUUUGUCAGUUCCUUUGUCUUUUCUGUGUCGGUGUUACAGGAGAGAUAACCUCUAAAUCUGUGGUUUGCUGUGGAACCCGUGGCAGGCAGGUUCACACAUACGUACCGUGAAACUGAUCAUUUUUUUUACUUACAUGUGUAUACUUAUUUUGAGAUUUGGGAUAUCAUUGGGUUUUUCGUGUAUCUGUAUUAGGAAAGUAAGUAUGAAGCAUUUAAGAUUCUAGGGUACAUAUAUCUUUACCCUCCCAAGGAUGCGUAAUUCUGGACAGCUUGGUUUGGAACUUUUAUGUUCAUCUGUCACUUCCUUUGUUAAAUUUUUUUCUAUAUUCUUGUAUUCUUGUCAUUUCUAUUUUUAUUGUCUAAUCAAUUUACUUCUUUGUUCUACAUUUGGCUUUUUUAUCUGAAUUCCGACAGUGCAGAAGUUUACAUGAGGAAGUUGGUGGGCAUCUCGUUGUAAUGCUGAUAUGAGACUUGGUUUGAAAAAUUAUGCUAGUAUUCUUUCUUCUGUUCUUUUUUACAACCUAUUUUUCCUAGCUUAAGCUUUUCUGUAAAUGUAUCAUGUGCUGUUGGCAGAGAAAGUUUUACAUGGGUUUGGUGUACAACAGAAGUUUCCUUCUUUCUCAAUCACACUGCACCUUUUUAAUUCGCCAUCUGAAGUGGAGAAUAUUAGAGAUGAUGAGUUUCUCUGCCACUUUGUACACCUUUGAACAAAUUAACAACGCCACAUGAACCAUAAUGUUCUGACGGACGUGUUAUCUAAUUGCUAGGCUUUAAUUUGGCCAUUUGGUGAUCUCUACGCUGAUUAUGAAUUCUUUACAUUUCGGAAUAGUCGUUUCAGCAUUUGCUUCUUGAUUACUUUGUCAAAGCUUAGGGUGAGGUUAUCACAUACUCCACCUUUAUCUUUGAGUGACAUGUAUUUCUUCCGGUGUUGAAGUUUGUGUGUUUUUGUAUCUGUAACUUCAGUUUUACUCUGGUUUUGCAUACAAGCUUUUGGAGUAACACUUCCCUUCCCAAGAUGAAUUUUGGACAACCUGUGGUAGGUACUGUUUGUUAUGAUGAUUUGUUUGUUGCGGAUCAAUUGGCUAUAGUUGCCCUAGGACUCCUCUGGUAUUUCUGCUGUUAUUUUUUAUUUGUGAUUUGUAUACUCCUAAAAAGAUAUCCUCAUGGCUAUAGUGGUCCUAGGACUCCUCUGGUAUCAGGUUGAAGCUUAAAUUGUGACAUUUCAAAUUGAUUACAAGAUAUUCCAAAUUGGACGGAAAUUUGUUCCCAUGAACUAUCAUGUUCUGCAGGUUGUGUUCUAUGCUUGAUUUGGUCAUCUCUACAAAUAAAGACUCUUCACAGUUCAGAGACUAGUCAAGAUAAAACCAACCAGUAAUUUGGCCUUUGGAAAGCAAAGGUUAACAUACGAUCAUUCAAUUCAGUCUUGGGAUCAAACCAGUAAAUUUUUCACAUCUGUUCGUUUUGAGAUUGGGGAUGUUUGUGUUUUGAUGGUGUCCUGCUAGUGUUGGUGUUUUUUGCUUUGUUUUUGUAGCCAGCUGCAUGAACAUUGAUGCAAACAAGAUUCAAAGUAUAUCUCUUUGCCCGCACCAAGGAUGAGGAAUUCUGAACUGCUUGGUUUUGGCUCUCUCUUGUUCUGUUAAUUUAUCACUUCCUUUGUUAUGAUUCUUUCACUAUUUUCAUGUCCUUUGUUACAUAUAAGAAUAAGAAUAUGAAUUCUCACCCAGAUGGGUUUUUGUCACAGUGAGGAAGCCUAAAUUAUUGUCAUUUCACAUGAAGCACCAAUCUGCAAUUAGAUGUAUUCGCAUUGUUGUAUGCUAAAUCAGUGGUGAUCUCCACCCUGACUAAGAAUUCUUCGCGAUUCUGUCUCUUGAGGAUCUAGUUUUUCUUAAUUCCUUAGAAGUUUCAUGUAGGUGUCACAAGAAGGAUAUCGACAGCGAGAUGUGCAACAUUGUUACAGAGGAGAUAGCCUAUGAACGUAAUGUUGGGUAAAACUCGUCAUUUUUAUUUCAAUGUACUUUUUCUGGAUCUGGGCAAUUGUGAUGGUGUGAUGUGGCAAUGCUUAUUUCAGUUGUUUAUCAGAAAUUUGAGUAUUUGGACGGCUUAUGAUUUUGUAGUACAUCUGUCUUUUUCAAGAUGCGGAGUUGAAUAUAUAUGAUUAUGGGGUGCAUUUUUAGCUUGGUUAUGAUGUGAGUUUUGUGUCACUUUAAUCACGAUCAUUGAGUUGGAUAAAUCUAAUUUCAUCAUUGAUUUGUGUUGUAUUUUUUUCUCAUGCUGUUUCAUUUGGCUUCCUGCUGAACAGUAAGGUUUAAUAUGGUGACAAGACUCUUUCCUCGCGCCAAGGAUGAGGAAUUCUGCUUGGUUUUUGGCUCUCUUUUAUUUUGUUAAUUUACCACUUGCUUUGUUAUGAUUCUUUUACAAAUAGUGGGAAAGCAUUUGGUGAUUUCUACUCCGAUUAUGAAGGAAUUCAUGUUUCUUUCUGUUAGGAAUGUAAUGUGGAAUAAAACUGGUCAUUUUUAUGUAAAUGUACGUUUUAUGGAUUGGAAUGGUUGUUUCUUAAUGGUGUCAUGUGUUUAUGUUGAUUUUUGUGUCUUGUUUAUCAGAUUGGGAGAGCUAUAAAAUUUGUGAUUCUGUAGUAUAUGUGUUUUUCUAGAUGAGGAGCUGAAUAUAUAUGAUUCUGGUGUACAUCUCUUAGCUUGGUUAUUGUGUGAGUUUUAUGAUACUUCAUUCACGAUCGUUGCCUCUGGAAUCAUGGAUGAAUCUAAUUUCGUCAUUGAAUUGUUUUGUAUUUUUUUUUUUUAGGCUUUGAUCUGGCUUUCUGUGUUGAAACAAUUAAGUCUCUAUAGUGUCAAGCCUCGAGUAUAAGUUAUUGUCCAUUGUUUAUGUAUUGAAUUCUUAUUGUUUUUCCUUCAUGAUUUACAGGAAAGAUAAAUAUAUCAAUGUGCGACUAUGGUGGAGAUUAUAAUCAGUUGGGUGUUUACAUACCCUUAAUACUAUGCUUUCUUACAGAUGCUUGUCCUAGAUUUGUUAUUUGUUUGUAUCAUUCCAGAGAAUCUGUGUAUGUUUGGGGAUGUUUCAAUUUUGUGCAGUGUUCCAAGGACUCGUCUGUAUAAUGGGGCAGCCUAAAUUGUGUCAUUUCAUAUUGAUCACAAGAUCUUGCAAAUCAGAAGGAAAAUUGUUGCAAUGAAACAUUGGGUGUGUUGAAUACUUAUACUUCCCACUGUUAAAAGACUUAAAUAUGGUCAUUUUCUACUCGGCAUCUACUUUUCGCAUUUUCUUUGAGUUAUCUGUGGGGUGUUAGAUUUCUUAUGAAUAUGUGCUGUGUUGUGGAGCCCGUGGCAGUCUGAGGUUAACAUACUAUCCGUUCAAUUCACAGCCUUGGGAUCUGUCAUGUUUCUACUUAUAUGUGUUGUGUCCUGCUAGUCUUGGUGAUUUUAUGUUUCUGCAUCAGGAACAUGAGAACUGAAGCAUUCAAGAUUCUAAAGUAUAUCUUUUCUCUGAAUUAGGAAUUCUGGACUAAAUUUACUUUCGCUGCUUUGGCGCUUUACUUCAUCCAUCUGGUAUAGGUAGGUGGGUAGCCCCUAAAUUUUAUAUUGUUUCACUUGGAGGAACGGAAUCUACAAAUUGGUUGUGAAAUGUUCUCAUUGUUGUUAUGCUUUCAUUUGGCGAUCUCUACUUUGACUAUGAUUCGUUUUGCAGAGAACGGUUCUAGAUAAAUUGAAUUGAACCGUGAACAUGAUUCGUUUUGUUUGUUCGUAAGAUCCGUUGCUCAGACUUGUUUGAUUCGUCAUGUUUGGAUUUCUGGCUUUGCUUUGUUGAUCUGAAGGGCAUUUCUUGAUUUCCUCUUGGAUUCUGGUUUCUUGAUUCUAAAAGUUGAUUUUUCACGUUUCUUGAUUUUCGGAGAACAGUCAUGGAUAGAUAAAUCAAAUUUCUUCAAUGAAUUUUUUUUUACUACUUUUAUUUAUUUUUCGGAUUUGAUUUUAAGACGCCGAAUUGAAUUAAGAACAUGCUUUUCUGCAGUGUGGUUUGUCAUAGCAUGGAGUGGAGCCUAGAAUUAUGAUUUGGUGAUCUCUAUUAAGUAUCAACCUUCUUUACAGCAUGGUUUUGUGUAUAUGAACAAAAUAAUAUGGUUUCUCGUUUUGUAAAUUGUCAAUAACAAACACUAAUAACUAUUUACAUAGAUGCAAUCAUGAAGAAAAAUUAAAUAGUAAUAAGUAAUAUAAAAUCUAAUCUUUAAAGAUAUUCUAAAGGUACUAAAUAUAUUUUUUUGAUAUUUUAACGGUUUGAUCUUCAUGUUAUGUAAUCUUAGGUUUUAUUUGGUUGUUGGUGUUGAUCUUAAAGUUUGUUGUGCUAUUUUUCUUGAUCUGCUACUAUUAUUAAGUUUCUUUUGUCAUUUUUUUGUGAAGCAGAUGCGUGAUUAUCACCUCUCGUCGAAUUGUGAAUUGAAAACAGUGUGAAUUAUUUUGACUGUACAGUGGAUCCUAAAAAAAAAAAGUUUGUAUCGAAUAAAAUAUAUACUUCGGCUUUCUUGUAUUAAAACUUUAGCUUGUAAACACAAAAGUACUGUACGCGCAUGUUUCGAAACAAUGAACUUCAGUUAUGAUGAAGCAAUCAAGUUUAUUUUCGUACACACUUCUUGGAUUGUGAAUUAUUUUCAAGACAUUUAUUCUCCGUGGAGUUUUAUUGUGCAAUCUUCUCGACAAGUCUAUUUUGUUGACAAGUUUAUUGAGGUGUGGUGAAUGUUGGUAUUGAAAAGUUCAGUUGUAGGGUUUCCUUAUGCCAUUAAUACAUUUAAGUUUUUGUCUUGUAAUCAAUCUGACAGUGUGAAAGUUACAAAAUUCUGGAUAAAUUUGGAGUGAACAGCUUUGUGGAGCUCUCUUCCUAACUAUGAACUUUUGAUCAUGGACUUGGUUUGGAACUCUCUUCAUUUAUUCUUAGCUUUUUCUACAACUAUUUGUGGCAACGUGAUUUUAUUGAACAUGUAUGAUGUAUCAUAUGGUGUUCACAGGGUGCCACAGAAGUCUUCUUUCUUUAUCACCUGUCUGAAGUGGAUAAAUUACAGAUGAGUGCCCCAAUCACCUUGUCAUGUUUUGUUGGCUGCGGUAUAUAUUUUCAACUAUUGCUGGGAUUAAUUUGGUGAUGUGAAUUUAGAUUUUAAUAUCUCUGCAUACACAAUUCUUGUUUAUUCAUUAUUCCCUGCUAUCUUGGCUGAGAUUAUCCGAUAAUGGUGAUUCAUCCCUGGGAUAUAAUUGGUCUUUAUUAUAUGCAUAUGUAUUUCUUUCCUGAAUAAUUAUUCUUUGAUCAUGUUCAAGAUGGUGUUGAUUGUGUAUCCAGAACCUUCGCUCCUCUAACAUAUAUUACUAGAGUUUGGAAUGACUUUUUGGCCUUCCCAAGAUGAGGAAUUUGGGACAACUGGAUAUAAACUUGAUUCUGGUGAUUUGUUUGUUUGUGAUAACUUAACUUU
This 8849-nucleotide long non-coding RNA is filed under the name Trifolium pratense (red clover). Its description in RNAcentral is "long non-coding RNA (TPRA_LNC011990)". The record is from RNAcentral. Lineage: Eukaryota; Viridiplantae; Streptophyta; Magnoliopsida; Fabales; Fabaceae.